CAAAGGUACCCAAAGGACUUCUUGUGAAGAAUGAAAUUUCAACCUGCUCAUUGAAAAUUGAAGAGCUACAUUAUGGUCCUUCUUCCUCCACCUGCAGUAGUAUGAAAAUUCUUUUCUGGAGAAAGAUGAAUAAUGUCAAGAAGAAGUGUUGGGAAGCAUGUGUUGGAGAAAGCCCGGGUGGUACAUAGGUCCCUAACAUCCAG
This 203-nucleotide long non-coding RNA is filed under the name Mustela putorius furo (domestic ferret). RNAcentral's name for it is "lncRNA (ENSMPUG00000025079.1)". The record is from RNAcentral. Lineage: Eukaryota; Metazoa; Chordata; Mammalia; Carnivora; Mustelidae.